This 254-nucleotide ribosomal RNA is filed under the name uncultured bacterium. Its description in RNAcentral is "partial 16S ribosomal RNA". It matches the Rfam family "Bacterial small subunit ribosomal RNA", at positions 100 to 354 of the family's 1533-position model. The record is from RNAcentral.
CGGGGUGAGUAACACGUGAGCAACCUGCCUUUCAGAGGGGGACAACAGUUGGAAACGACUGCUAAUACCGCAUAAAAUAACGGAACCGCAUGAUUCUGUUAUCAAAGGAGAAAUCCGCUGAAAGAUGGGCUCGCGUCUGAUUAGAUAGUUGGUGAGGUGACGGCCCACCAAGUCGACGAUCAGUAGCCGGACUGAGAGGUUGAACGGCCACAUUGGGACUGAGACACGGCCCAGACUCCUACGGGAGGCAGCAG